Pipistrellus kuhlii (Kuhl's pipistrelle) is the source of this 3625-nucleotide long non-coding RNA. RefSeq lists it as uncharacterized. NCBI's taxonomy places the organism in Eukaryota, Metazoa, Chordata, Mammalia, Chiroptera, Vespertilionidae. The record is from RefSeq and is a predicted model, not a curated record. The transcript has 2 exons.
CAACUAAAUCCAUGAUACAAAAAAUUUUUUUUUGAUUUUGGUUGUAGGAUGACCAAUUACUUUUUAAUUGGCCUUUGGGAUAGAAGUUGUUUAAAAGUCUUUGAAAAUCUAAAGGAAUUCCAUUCACUGGUCCCCUUUCACACACAUAUUUAUCCCCCUCACAUAAACCUGAUUUCCUUCUGUUGCUCUACCCAGAAAUAGUGUGUGCUUUUAAGUGUUUAAUGGUUGUGCCCUUAUCAUAACCUCUUCUCAGAAAUGAGACCAAAUUAGGAAUCCAGGAUUUGGUAGAGUGGUCCUUUAUAGGCACUGCUCCUCACCCACCCUCCUAAGACAGGUCCUGGAAUCUGGUGUGUGCGCGUGGCUUUUAGUCCUGCGCGUAAAUGUCUUGGUGAGGGUUUGGCUCCAUAACUAAUGCAAUUCAGUGACUGGUGAGCCAGAGUUGCUGUAAAUAUGACUCAAGAGCUGCCUGUUGUUUAAUGGUAAUCGUCUGACUGUAAUCAGGUGUGCAGAGGGGCCAAAGGUUACAAGUAAAUGAGCUAAAGAGAAAUGGUUGCCAAACUCAGUUCUGAUUCAAACGCACUGAACAUUCUCUAUACUUCGUUUUCGACCCACUUCUUCCCACCCACUUUAAAUUACAGUUUUGGAGUAGAACUUUCUCUAGCCUCCUCCUCCGAAGAGAUUCAGGCAAAGCAUCCAUUCAACCUGCAGAGUUCCCAGGAACAGCAGAGAGCGAGGCCUCGGUCACCGGGAAGACAGACGCAGGGUGUGCGGGUGAGUGGGUGUGUUGUUUACUCUCUCUGGGUGGCUGGUGAACGGGGCAUGUGUGGAGGAAAGGAGCUGGGUUGGUGUGACCUGUAAACGUUUUCUGAGCUGGUGAGGGAGUGACUGCUGAUCCCUGCUGCUUAGUGAGUGAGUCAUGGGCCUGAGGGCAGAGCCUGCUACAGGGCGGGGCCCAGUCUGGCCAACAAAGUCCUCCAGGAGCACCAAUGAACAGAUAAAUAUUUUCCUGGCAGUUAUCUGAGCAUUUCAGAGAAGCAAUUACCUCUGAACAAUGCAGGUGGAAAUUCAGGGGAGUGGGAGUCAGGUCAGAUUAUGGCACUGCGUGAGAUGGACCACAGACCUAGAGGUUCCUGGAUGCCAGGGAGUUCGGACUCUUUGGGAAAGGGUGGCUGAGGGUGAGGGACCGUGGGUACCCUGGUAGAGUCCACAAGUCCAGCAAGAGAGACUUCCACCCGAGAAGCUGUCUCAGGGAGAAAAGGGAAAUGAAGAAGGCAAAGAAAGGUUUGAACCUUCAAUGGGAUUCAUGCAGCCAGUUCUAGUGUUUUCUUAUUGAGAUCAGCUUGUGGGGAUGAGAAAUUCAUCCCCUGUUGGAGGCAACAGUGGAAUCUGGAGAAGGGAGAUGCUUUGCCUAAAGUCACACAGCCAGUUAGUUAUAAACUACAGGAAAUAGCAGCCUGGUGUUCACACCUAGGGCUUAAGGGGAUAAUCUGCUGAGUUUGUAGAAAGUGACUUGCUAUAAAUUGUAAAGAUUGAGUCAACACCAUGUGGAUAGGCAGAUUGUUUUUUGAGAGCAUGGGAGGAGCAGGUGGCAAGACUUGUGGAAUUGUUAAUUAGCAGGUUUUGGUGAUAGAAUUGAACUGGGUCAGGCAACUGACUGGAAUUAAAGAUAAGGUGUGGUUUGGCCUCAAAUAACUUGGAAGUGCAUGCAUAUGUGUGUGCAUACAUGCAUGAAUGUGUGUGCACAUGUGUGAGUGUGUGUGAAGAGGUGGCUGUUUAGCUUUUAGGGUGGUGAGGUCUAGAGCAUCUCUACAAGUAGAUGGAAUUUAUGCAGAGACUGGGCUUCUUCCUUGAAAUACAGCAAUAUAGGCAUUAAAUAAAAGUGGAGAAAAGGGGAAAGAGGAAUUUUCCAUUUGAAAAUCAAGGAAUAUGGGUGUGUAUUAUUAUUAUUUUUUUUAAACUUUGGCAGUAGUCCUUUAAAUUGGUUUGGGGACAAUUUUUAGUGCACUGGGUAUGAAAAUGUACUUGAUUUCACCAAUUUAAAUAAUUAUUAUAGGAAGUAACAGAAAAGCCUAACCAAAAUGAAUAGGUAAGAAGGUUUAAUGAAGUGGGAAAAAUGGAAUGCUUAGAAAGAGUAAAGGUUUAUUGUUGUUGAUAGCUCAGAAGGGACCCCAUAUUCCCAGCAGGCUCCUGGGAUAUGAUGGGGUGAGGGUGCCAGUCUAGGGAGGACACAUGGCAUAGAAUUUGGUGGAAGGGACCACAUGAGCAGCAGCAGGGUGAAGGUGAACUGGAAAGGACCCAAGAAUCUUCAGGGGUGGAAACUCCAUUCUCAGAUAAUGAAAACCUAUGGCAGAGGGAAUGUACCUGGACAAGUAGGCCAGAGUGAUGAGACCAAGAAGCAGAUAAAGUAGGAAAGCUACAAACGCAGACUCAAAUGCCAUAAUGCUGAGGCAAAAACCAACACUUCUAGACUUCCAUUGCUUGAGUGAUGCCUCAGACUCCAUUAUUCUCAGUCCCAGCAGACAUGCUGUCCACCUUUGGUCUUUGGUCCUUGGUCACACUUGGUUCUCCGGGCUGACCCUGCACAGCUCUGCCCUCCUGCGGUCUAACUGGGCACUUGUGUGGCCAUAUUCCUGGACAAGACUGUUGGUUUCCUCAAUGCCAGAAAGACCUUUCAUUUAUCUGUGUUCACCCAGAACUGUAGGUCCUGUAGGUCCCACUGAAUGCUGAAACAUGUAGAGGCCUUUAUUUCUGAGGACUUGGCGUUGAAACUCAAAUGAGAGUGUGUUUUUGAAAGAACAGUGUGAACCAAACCGCAAAUAUAAAAACCAUAAAUCUCUCUCUGAACCAAAAUAACACCACUUCAGGGUGAAUGAAAAUGAUGUACUUCCCGGAAAUCAGACUUAUUCUUAAUUCAUAAAGACUGUUUAGGACUUGGAAUCAAUAGAAGCCAGAUUGUAUUUUGCUUCCUGUUUUUCUGUGCUCCGUUUAUGCAAAUGAUGUUAAAAUACGUGUGUAAAAAUAACUUCUAAUGGGCUGUCUCAGCAAUAAGCAGCUAACAGGCACAGAAAAUAUCCUAGGAAUCCAAUAGAUUUUAGAGCAUUUUUUAGACACAUGGGGAGCCUGGAGGGUUAGAAUGGCAGGAAGGUGGGGAGGCUUCUAUGAACUGGUUCACACCAUGAUCCCAGGGCUGCUCAGGAGCCUGAACUGCAAAAAGUUGAGCCCAGAAUCAGAGGCCUGCUCCUGGACAACCUCUGUUUGGAUCCAGACGUUAGCAUGGAUGUAGAGUCCUGAGCAAAGUGCUACAACCAGCAUUGCCGGAUUUAGCGUACAUAAAAAUAUAGGACACUCCACUAUUGUAGGAAGCAUGCUUAUACUAAAAAAGGAUUUGUUUAUCUGCAGCUCAAAUGUAACUGGAAAUCAUACACUUUAUCUGGCAAGCUACAAUUCAAAUGAUUAAUAUCUCUGAAUCUGACGUUAGUGGCUCUAGGGCUUUUGGAAGAAUUAGCAUGGGCUUUCUUACUGCAAACUAGCGAUUUUCAACCUGUCUGCUGCAAGAAUUUUUAAAACAUGCAAUAUCUGACUAGUCUGGGGCACUGACCUCUUUUCCCUUAGAUUGCCAAAUAAA